RNAcentral lists this ribosomal RNA (541 nucleotides) under uncultured bacterium. Its description in RNAcentral is "bacterial SSU rRNA". It matches the Rfam family "Bacterial small subunit ribosomal RNA", at positions 8 to 526 of the family's 1533-position model. The record is from RNAcentral.
AGAGUUUGAUCAUGGCUCAGGAUUAACGCUGGCGGCAUGCCUAAUACAUGCAAGUCGAACGGAAAAUAUAUAGAUGCUUGCAUUUAGAUAUUUUUAGUGGCGAACGGGUGAGUAACAUAUAGAUAACCUACCUUUAAGUUGGGGAUAACAGAGGGAAACUUUUGCUAAUACCGAAUAAAAUAAUUAGACGCAUGUUUAAUUAUUAAAAGGGGCUCCAAAGCCCCGCUCGAAGAGGGGUCUAUAUCGCAUUAGCUAGUUGGUAAGAUAACAGCCUACCAAGGCGAUGAUGCGUAGCUGUACUGAGAGGUAGAACAGCCACAUUGGGACUGAGAUACGGCCCAAACUCCUACGGGAGGCAGCAGUAGGGAAUUUUCGGCAAUGGGGGGAACCCUGACCGAGCAAUGCCGCGUGAUUGAAGAAGAUCUUCGGAUCGUAAAGAUCUGUUAUUAGGGAAGAAUAUUCAGAGGAGGAAAUGCUUUUGAGUUGACGGUGCCUAAUGAGGAAGCCCCGGCUAACUAUGUGCCAGCCGCCGCGGUAAUUC